RNAcentral lists this ribosomal RNA (253 nucleotides) under uncultured bacterium. Its description in RNAcentral is "partial 16S ribosomal RNA". It matches the Rfam family "Bacterial small subunit ribosomal RNA", at positions 524 to 776 of the family's 1533-position model. The record is from RNAcentral.
UACGGAGGGGGCGAGUGUUGUUCGGAAUUACUGGGCGUAUAGGGCGCGCAGGCGGCAUGGCAAGUCGAGUGUGAAAUCCCCCGGCUUAACUGGGGAACUGCGUCUGAUACUGGAUGGCUUGAGUUUGGGAGAGGGAUGCGGAAUUCCAGGUGUAGCGGUGAAAUGCGUAGAUAUCUGGAGGAACACCGGUGGCGAAGGCGGCAUCCUGGACCAACACUGACACUGAGGAGCGAAAGCCAGGGGAGCAAACGGG